AGCAGCCGCGGUAAUUCCAGCUCCAAUAGCGUAUAUUAAAGUUGUUGCAGUUAAAAAGCUCGUAGUUUGAAUUUCGGGAUCAAUAUGUCGGUCGUGCCUUCGGUACGCACUGGUAUCAUUGGUUUCUCCUUUCUGACGAACCAUGAUGUCAUUAAUUUGGUGUUAUGGGGAGUUAGGACUGUUACUUUGAAAAAAUUAGAGUGUUUAAAGCAGGCUUUAGCUUGAAUACAUUAGCAUGGAAUAAUGAAAUAGGACGUUCGAACCUAUUUUGUUGGUUUCUAGGAUCAACGUAAUGAUUAAUAGGGAUAGUUGGGGGCAUUAGUAUUCAAUUGUCAGAGGUGAAAUUCUUGGAUUUAUUGAAGACUAACUACUGCGAAAGCAUUUGCCAAGGAUGUUUUCAUUAAUCAAGAACGAAAGUUAGGGGAUCGAAGACGAUCAGAUACCGUCGUAGUCUUAACCAUAAAGCUAUGCCGAGCUAUGGGAUCGAAGGAUGUUAAUUUUUUAAUGACUCA
Molecule: ribosomal RNA, 512 nt
Filed under: uncultured Glomeromycotina
Lineage: Eukaryota; Fungi; Glomeromycota
Description: SSU rRNA
Rfam family: Eukaryotic small subunit ribosomal RNA
Source: RNAcentral